AGGCAUUCUUCUACCAGACAGCAACCAGCGUCCAGGAAUUAAAGCAAGUGCCCGGCCCCCACUCAAGGCUGAAGAUGCCUACGAGUGUCCCGUCGACGUGGGUGAGUCAGAUGGGCCCUCCACCUCCUCUCCUCGUCCAGCCCUCCUCCACGCGCGGAUAACCAGCUCAGCGGUCGGUGACGCGUGUCCUUCUGACGCAUCCACUGAUGUGUUGUGUAAAGAACGGCUGCGGGCAGGGGUGUUUCCCCCCUGCUGAGCACACCUGCCUUCCCUUCCACUGGCUCGCGGCCGCCCCCUGCUGCCCAGGACACGGAAACGUGGCUGCGCCCCAGAGGGGAAGCCGGAGGCAACUUUGUUCCUGAGAGACCCAGAUGGGAAAGACCUUGGGUGGCCUCAGCAGGUGGCCAGAGGGACGUGUACAGCAUGAUGACAUCAGCGGGAAGUAGGAGCGCAUUAGGAAGCCUUCCACAACGUAGCAGCCGUGCUGGUCUGCUUACACCAACCUCCAGGCGGACCUGGUCCACGCUGAGAGGUGAGCAAGAAAAUGUAGCAGAGCCGCAGCGAGCGCUACCUGCCCGAGCUUGCUG
RNAcentral lists this long non-coding RNA (587 nucleotides) under Ursus maritimus (polar bear). RNAcentral describes it as "lncRNA (ENSUMAG00000009678.1)". Lineage: Eukaryota; Metazoa; Chordata; Mammalia; Carnivora; Ursidae. The record is from RNAcentral.